GGGGUAAAAUUAAUAAAUUUAUAUUUUAAUAAAAUUAAUUUUAAUUUAUAUAAUAUUUAAUGGGGGUUAAAGUAUUAUUUAAAGAAAAAAUUUAAAGUUUUAUAGAUUAAUAGUAUUGUAAAAUAAAUUUGAAAUAAUUGAAAAUAAAUUUAUUUAAAAGUAAUUUUUAUUUAUUGUAUCUUGUGUAUCAGAGUUUAUUUAAAAUUUUUAAUUUAUUUUUAAUUUCUCGAAUUUAAAAGAGUUAAAUAAUUAUUAAAGUUAUUGUAGCAAAACUAUUUUAAAUAAUUAUUUUGAAAUGAAAUGUUAAUCGUUUUUAAAGAUAUCUAGUUUUUUUAGAAAAAAAUUUAAUUUUAAAUUUUUUAUAUAAUUUAAUUAAUUAAUUAAUUAAAAUUAUUAUUAAAUUUUAUAUUUUAAGGGAUAAGCUUUAAAAAUUAAAAUUUUAUAAUAAAAUAAAUUUUUAUUUGAAAAUUUUAUAAUUUAUAUUGUUGAUAAAUUUUAGUUUAUUAUAAAUAAUUUCAUUUAAAAAAAAAUUUAAUAUUUUAUUUAAGUUUUUAUAAAAAAAUAAUUUUUAAUUAUAAAAUUUUAGAUAUAAUGAUAAAAUUAGUAUAUAUUAAUUUAAUUUUAUUAAUUUUAAGUUAAUAAUAUUUAAUUUAAUUAAUUAAAAGGAAUUCGGCAAAUAUCUAUUUUCACUUGUUUAUCAAAAACAUGUCUUUUUGUGGUUUAUUUAAAGUCUAAUCUGCCCACUGAUUUUAAAAUUAAAGGGCUGCAGUAUUUUGACUGUACAAAGGUAGCAUAAUCAUUAGUCUCUUAAUUGGUGACUUGUAUGAAAGAUUGAAUGAGAAAUAUACUGUCUCUUAAUUAAUUUAUAUAAUUUAAUUUUUUAUUUAAAAAGUUAAAAUAAUUUAAAAAGACGAGAAGACCCUAUAGAGUUUUAUAUUUAUUUUAUUAAUGAUAUUAUUUGUUUUUAUUUAAUUUUUAAUAAAUAAAAUAUUUUGUUGGGGUGAUAGAAAAAUAUAUUUAACUUUUUUUAAAAAUUUAACAUUAAUAAGUGAUUAAAUGAUCCAAUUUUAUUGAUUAUAAGAUUAAAUUACCUUAGGGAUAACAGCGUAAUUUUUUUUUUUAGUUCAAAUAAGAAAAAAAGUUUGCGACCUCGAUGUUGGAUUAAGAUAAAAUUUAAAUGCAAAAGUUUAAAAUUUUUGAUCUGUUCGAUCAUUAAAAUCUUACAUGAUCUGAGUUCAAACCGGUGUGAGCCAGGUUGGUUUCUAUCUUUUAAAAAUUUAAAUAUUUUAGUACGAAAGGAUCGAAUAUUUUAAUUAAAUUAUUUAUUUUGAAUUUUAUUAAAUAAAUAAAUUUUUAAAAAUAUUUUAUUAUAAUAAU
This 1377-nucleotide ribosomal RNA is filed under the name Sucra jujuba. RNAcentral describes it as "16S ribosomal RNA". The record is from RNAcentral. Lineage: Eukaryota; Metazoa; Arthropoda; Insecta; Lepidoptera; Geometridae.